This 492-nucleotide ribosomal RNA is filed under the name uncultured bacterium. Its description in RNAcentral is "partial 16S ribosomal RNA". It matches the Rfam family "Bacterial small subunit ribosomal RNA", at positions 29 to 507 of the family's 1533-position model. The record is from RNAcentral.
AGUGAACGCUGGCGGUAGGCCUAACACAUGCAAGUCGAACGGCAGCACAGUAAGAGCUUGCUCUUACGGGUGGCGAGUGGCGGACGGGUGAGGAAUACAUCGGAAUCUACUUUUUCGUGGGGGAUAACGUAGGGAAACUUACGCUAAUACCGCAUACGACCUACGGGUGAAAGCAGGGGAUCUUCGGACCUUGCGCGAUUGAAUGAGCCGAUGUCGGAUUAGCUAGUUGGCGGGGUAAAGGCCCACCAAGGCGACGAUCCGUAGCUGGUCUGAGAGGAUGAGCAGCCACACUGGAACUGAGACACGGUCCUGACUCCUACGGGAGGCAGCAGUGGGGAAUAUUGGACAAUGGGCGCAAGCCUGAUCCAGCCAUACCGCGUGGGUGAAGAAGGCCUUCGGGUUGUAAAGCCCUCUUGUUGGGAAAGAAAAGCAGCAGGUUAAUACCCCGCUGUUCUGACGGUACCCAAAGAAUAAGCACCGGCUAACUUCGUG